Long non-coding RNA from Drosophila albomicans, 680 nucleotides. RefSeq lists it as uncharacterized. The record is from RefSeq and is a predicted model, not a curated record. NCBI's taxonomy places the organism in Eukaryota, Metazoa, Arthropoda, Insecta, Diptera, Drosophilidae. The transcript is spliced from 4 exons.
UUGAUUUGCCAGAGGCGUGCUGGCACAACGCUAAUACAGAACCACCUACAGCUACCGCGGAGAGAGAGAAAGAGAGCGGAAACAAAAGCAGGUCGAAGUAAAAACAAUGCGCAGUUUUCAUUACGAAUCUCCUGCCAAGGACUUGCUUUUGUUGAAGGACCUAAGCUGUGCAGCACAAUGCUAAAGAGACUUGUAUGGCAUUCUAACGAGAAAGGAAAGGAGUAGAGUAAACUGUGAAGACGCAGCGUGAGAAACCAACAGACACAAUUUAAACUUAACAGGCACAUUUAGAGAAUGCACUUUAAAGAGAUACUGUCACAUCGGACUUUCUUCAAUGCUGAGGUACUUGCCAAUAGAGAGCAGAAGCUACAGUUUAAUAUUACGAGUCUAAGCAACUGAAAUAUUUAGAGAAAACUCGCAUCAGGUGAUCAGUUAAAGAGUUGGUGUCACAUCGGACUUCCUUCAAUGAUGAGAUACUUGCCAAGAGAGAUCAGCAGCUACAAUUAAAUAUCACAAAUCUAAAGGAACUGGAAUACGCACCAGCUGAUCAGUUGAAGAGGGAAGAGUUCAGCACUUUUGCAUAUUUUGUUGCUAAGGUGCGAUUCUCUUACAGUUCCUGUCAUCGGAUUUGCUUCAAUGCUGAGGUACUUGCCAAUAGAGAACAGGAGCUAUAAUUAAAU